CAGUGUUCGGAUUUACUGGGCGUAAAGCGCACGUAGGCGGAUCUUUAAGUCAGAGGUGAAAUCCCAAGGCUCAACCUUGGAACUGCCUUUGAUACUGGGGAUCUUGAGUCCGGGAGAGGUGAGUGGAACUGCGAGUGUAGAGGUGAAAUUCGUAGAUAUUCGCAAGAACACCAGUGGCGAAGGCGGCUCACUGGCCCGGUACUGACGCUGAGGUGCGAAAGCGUGGGGAGCAAACAGG
RNAcentral lists this ribosomal RNA (238 nucleotides) under uncultured bacterium. RNAcentral's name for it is "partial 16S ribosomal RNA". It matches the Rfam family "Bacterial small subunit ribosomal RNA", at positions 539 to 776 of the family's 1533-position model. The record is from RNAcentral.